Molecule: ribosomal RNA, 2910 nt
Filed under: Cyanidium sp. THAL103
Lineage: Eukaryota; Rhodophyta; Bangiophyceae; Cyanidiales; Cyanidiaceae
Description: 23S ribosomal RNA
Rfam family: Bacterial large subunit ribosomal RNA
Source: RNAcentral
UAGAUAAAGUAAUUAAGAGCUUUUGGUGGAUACCUAGGCAUUUAGAAGCGAUGAAGGGCGUGGUUUACCAACGAAAUACUUCGGGGAGCUGGAAGCAAGUUUUGAUCCGGAGAUACCCGAAUGAGGAAACUCCUAUGUACUUCUUUUCGAAUUUAUAGAAAAGAAAGAGCAAACCUAGUGAACUGAAACAUCUUAGUAACUAGAGGAAAAGAAAGCAAUAGCGAUUCUCUUAGUAGUGGCGAACGAAAAGGGAAAAGCCUAAACUACCUAUAUUUUAUAUAUAGGUAGGGUUGAGGGGACGAAUUUAUAUGGAUGAAAACAAAAUUAUUUGAAAUGGUUGGAAUCCCAUACAGUAUAAGGUGAUAGUCCUGUAAAUUAAAAUUCUGUUUUUAUCUAGUUUGUACCCCAAGUAAUAUGGGACACGAGAAAUCCCGUAUGAAUCAACGAGGACCACCUCGUAAGGCUAAAUAUUCCUAAAUGACCGAUAGUGAAAUAGUACCGUGAGGGAAAGGUGAAAAGAACCCCGAGAGGGGAGUGAAAUAGAACAUGAAACCAUUAGCUUACAAGCAGUGGGAGGACGACUUAACGUCUGACCUCGUGCCUGUUGAAGAAUGAGCCGGCGACUUAUAAGUAGUGGCAAGGUUAAAGCAGUGAAUGCUGGAGCCAUAGUGAAAACGAGUUUGAAUAGAGCGCAAUUACUGUCACUAUUUAUAGACCCGAACCCGAAUGAUCUAACCAUGACCAGGAUGAAGUCUAGGUAAUACUAUAUGGAGGUCCGAACUGACUGAUGUUGAAAAAUCAGCAGAUGAGUUGUGGUUAGUGGUGAAAUGCCAAUCGAAUUCGGAGCUAGCUGGUUCUCCCCGAAAUGUGUUUAGGCACAGCAGUUAAUUCUAUAAUUUAGGGGUAAAGCACUGUUUCUUUAAGGGCUAUGAAAAUGGUACCAAAUUGAUGCAAACUCUGAAUACUAAAUGAGUAGUUAACUAGUCAGACUGCGGGGGAUAAGCUCCGUAGUCAAAAGGGAAACAGCCCAGAUCACAAGCUAAGGCCCCAAAAUAUUUGCUAAGUGGUAAAGGAAGUGAAAACGCUUAUACAACUAGGAGGUUCGCUUAGAAGCAGCAAUCCUUUAAAGAGUGCGUAAUAGCUCACUAGUCUAGCGAUUUUGCACCGAAAAUGAAUGGGACUAAGCAAUUUGCCGAAGCUGUGGGAUAUAACAUUAGUUUAUCGGUAGGGGAGCGUUCCGUAAUAGAUUGAAGCGUUAACGUUAGUGGACGUGGACUAAUCGGAAGUGAGAAUGUCGGCUUGAGUAGCGAAAACAUUGGUGAGAAUCCAAUGCCCCGAAAACCUAAGGUUUCCUUCGGAAGGUUCGUCCACGAAGGGUAAGUCAGGACCUAAGAUGAGGCUGAAAAGCGUAAUUGAUGGAUAAUAGGUUAAUAUUCCUAUACUAUUUAUCAUUUAACAGAGAGUGACGGAGAAGGCUAAAUCAGCCAGAUGAUGGUUACUGGUUAAAAUAUCCAAGGCGAUGAGAAAUGGUGAAAAUAUUUUGAGCUAAGGUAUGAAAGCAUUUACUUACGAGUAAUAAAUGAUUGAUGUCACACUUCCAAGAAAAGCUUUUACUGUUGUAAGAAUGGUAAAUACCUGUACCUCAAACCGACACAGGUAGGUAAGUAGAGUAUACUAAGGGGCGCGAGAUAACUCUCUCUAAGGAACUCGGCAAAAUAGCCCCGUAACUUCGGGAGAAGGGGUGCCUGCAAAGGCUGCAAUAAAAAGGCCCAAGCGACUGUUUAACAAAAACACAGGUCUCCGCUAAGUCGUAAGACGAUGUAUGGGGGCUGACGCCUGCCCAGUGCCGGAAGGUUAAAGAAGUUGGUUAGUUUUUAUAACAAAGCUAGCAACUGAAGCCCCGGUGAACGGCGGCCGUAACUAUAACGGUCCUAAGGUAGCGAAAUUCCUUGUCGGGUAAGUUCCGACCCGCACGAAAGGCGUAACGAUUUGGGCACUGUCUCAGAGAGAGACUCGGCGAAAUAGAAUUGUCUGUGAAGAUGCGGACUACCUGCACCUGGACAGAAAGACCCUAUGAAGCUUUACUGUAACUUGAGAUUGAGCUUCGAUUUUUUCUGCGCAGUAUAGGUGGGAGGCUGUGAUUUUAUUUUUUUGGAAAUAAAAGAGCCAUCAAUGAGAUACCACUCUGAAAAUAUUAAAGUUCUAACCUCUGUCCGUUAUCCGGAAGAGAAACAGUCUCUGGUGGGCAGUUUGACUGGGGCGGUCGCCUCCUAAAAAGUAACGGAGGCGCGCAAAGGUUCCCUCAAACUGGUCGGAAAUCAGUUGUAGAGUGUAAAGGCAUAAGGGAGCUUAACUGUGAGACAAACAAGUCAAACAGAGACGAAAGUCGGCCUUAGUGAUCCGACGGUGCCGAGUGGAAGGGCCGUCGCUCAACGGAUAAAAGUUACUCUAGGGAUAACAGGCUGAUCUCCCCCAAGAGUUCACAUCGACGGGGAGGUUUGGCACCUCGAUGUCGGCUCAUCGCAACCUGGGGCGGAAGUACGUCCCAAGGGUUGGGCUGUUCGCCCAUGAAAGCGGUACGUGAGCUGGGUUCAGAACGUCGUGAGACAGUUCGGUCCAUAUCCGGUGUAGGCGUUAGAGUAUUGAGAGGUUCUCUUCUUAGUACGAGAGGACCAGAAGAGACACACCUCUAGUGUGCCAGUUAUUGUGCCAACGGUAAACGCUGGGUAGCUAUGUGUGGAUUAGAUAACCACUGAAAGCAUCUAAGUGGGAAGCUUACCUCAAGAUGAGUACUCUUCCUUUUAUAUAGGUAAGGUCACAGCUAGACUAGCUGUUUGAUAGGCAUUAAAUGUAAGUGUAGUAAUGCAUUUAGUUGAAGUGUACUAAUAGACCGAUAGCUUUGUCUAAUAU